RNAcentral lists this ribosomal RNA (373 nucleotides) under uncultured bacterium. RNAcentral describes it as "bacterial SSU rRNA". It matches the Rfam family "Bacterial small subunit ribosomal RNA", at positions 525 to 896 of the family's 1533-position model. The record is from RNAcentral.
ACGGAGGGUGCAAGCGUUGUCCGGAAUCAUUGGGCGUAAAGAGUUCGUAGGUGGUAUGUUAAGUCUGGUGUUAAAGGCAGAAGCUCAACUUCUGUAAGGCACUGGAUACUGGCAAACUUGAAUGUGGUAGAGGUAAAGGGAAUUCCUGGUGUAGCGGUGAAAUGCGUAGAUAUCAGGAGGAACAUCGGUGGCGAAAGCGCUUUACUGGGCCAUUAUUGACACUGAGGAACGAAAGCCGGGGUAGCAAAUGGGAUUAGAUACCCCAGUAGUCCCGGCCGUAAACGAUGGAUACUAGGUGUUGCGGGUAUCGACCCCUGCAGUGCCAUAGCUAACGCGAUAAGUAUCCCGCCUGGGGAGUACGCACGCAAGUGUG